GGGGGGCAGAAGAGAGAGAGACCAGAAAGCAACCAUAGGAAGAAGAGAGCGACACGGCGGCCAGGACGUAUUGGUGUGGUGUCAGGACUGACACUGGGAUGAGUUGUAAUUUAGGGCGAGUGCUGUUUGAUUAAAGGACAGUUACGGUGAUACCGCUGCUUAGUAUGAGUGUUGGGAUUACUUGGCAUGACAGCCCUGUAGUGACAACCUAGAUGUACUUAAUCAUACGUGCGGUGAACAUAACAUUAAAGGUAAAGUAACUGCCGCUAUCAGAGGCUGCCCUCUCUGAAUUUCAUUGCUCGGUUCAGAUAUUGUUUUUUCAUUAAAUACAUUACUUGAGUGUGUGUUUAUCAAGCACAAGUUCAAGUUUUUUUUACUCAGAAAUGAAUCCAAGCAUCCUGGAACUCAAAUUCUUUUUCGACAAUUUUUUUUUUUCUUUUUGGAAAAAAGCCACCGUACACUUUUUGGGAAAUUGGCAGCUUAUCUUUUCAUAGCUAGAGGUCAACAUAACACUCAGUAUUAAUAAAACAAAUACGACUAGGAUGGAUAUACAUGAUAAUAUAUACAGAUGUACUGCGCAUGAGCUUGAAUCGUGUGAGAGUCCGCUAAAGGAGAGCAAAGGGGAGACACUCACAGACACUCACAUGUUUGUGUGUUUACUCGUCUGUGUGUGUGUGUGUGUGUGUGUGAUAGCCAAGUCAGUCUCCCUCAGAUGUUCCCUUUGACCUUUGACCCAAGAGUUGGGGUCAAGCCCUGACAAAUGAGAUGGCAGAGUUCUGGCCAGAACUGCAAACAUUCCACAACAAUCUUCUGUCCUCCUCCCCUCUCCUCAUAUCCGUCAUUCCUCACCCCUUCACUCCUCUCACUAUGGCUCUUCCAUGACUUAGAGAGAGCCAGAGAAGGUUCACAUUGCACACAAACAUGUUUUAUUGUAUUUGCUGUGGGAAUCUUAAAGCAUACACCCUUCAAAUUAAGAAUUACAGCAUUGGUUAAAUUUAAUAUCCCCGACAUCUGCCUUGUUUACAGAAGGAGAGAAAAACAAAAGAGUAUGAUCUUAAAGGAGAAGCCGUGUUAAAGAUUUGGAUAUUACAACCCUGCACUCUGAAAGCCCACUGUGUGUGUUUGGAAAGCUUGUCAGUGAUGUCAAGGAUGAGAAAUGUUGCAGUGAGGUUUUUUACACACACUGCUGGCUCUAGCAUUUCCGGCAACAUUUCUCACUCUGCCUCCCUCACACCAUCCGCUCUGCUGCAAUAUCCCCACAUGUUUCCAUCCUUUCACUUCUUCCCCUACCCUCCCCUCCUCCCUCCCUGCUCGCCUUCUCUCUGCUCUCUGACCACUCUUGCUCUCUUUACCCUUCCUCUCUGCUGCCCCACCCUGCCCUAUAUCAACCUCUCCCUCCCUUUUCUCUUCUUCCAGCACACUCACUUCCCCCUCCCUUUUUCCUCCACCGUCUAUUUUCUCUGAUUUUCUAACAUGCCAUUCCACAGAAUGCUACCACCUGUGUCUUUAGGGGGAAAAGGGGGCUAUUGGUAUUCCUCUUCAGGCAGCUGGUUAGGCUUCCUAAGCAUCACCAUCCUCGAUCAGAGCUCUAGCUACAAGUCACUGCUGUAAAAACACACACAGUCACUAUCAAUGAACGUCAGCAGAGCAACCACAGUGCCACAAAGGAGCCUGGAGACCAACAAAGCCGGCUGAUACAGCAACACCGAGUGGAUCAUGCUCUUGAACUUGCUUUCAUAAUGAUGUAAUAUUACUAAAAGGCAAUGCAACACAGCAAAGAUCUUAAU
Long non-coding RNA from Xiphias gladius (swordfish), 1787 nucleotides. RefSeq lists it as uncharacterized. The transcript is spliced from 3 exons. NCBI's taxonomy places the organism in Eukaryota, Metazoa, Chordata, Actinopteri, Istiophoriformes, Xiphiidae. The record is from RefSeq and is a predicted model, not a curated record.